UGGCGAUAGACUGAAAGGUGUUAUGAUCAUAUUGACUCAGAUGAGCUCCUCAACGAAUGUUUCUAUUGAGUUGCGGAAAAUAGCGAAAGACCUAAGACUAGCCUUCAUGAAAAAUGUUCAAUCGGACUGCAACCU
Bolinopsis microptera is the source of this 135-nucleotide long non-coding RNA. RefSeq lists it as uncharacterized. The transcript is spliced from 2 exons. The record is from RefSeq and is a predicted model, not a curated record. NCBI's taxonomy places the organism in Eukaryota, Metazoa, Ctenophora, Tentaculata, Lobata, Bolinopsidae.